This 468-nucleotide long non-coding RNA is filed under the name Astyanax mexicanus (Mexican tetra). Its description in RNAcentral is "lncRNA (ENSAMXG00005022668.1)". Lineage: Eukaryota; Metazoa; Chordata; Actinopteri; Characiformes; Acestrorhamphidae. The record is from RNAcentral.
GCCCAACGCUGCUGCAGCGUGAGCGCGAGCGCGGCGCCUCCCGGUGAGCGCGCGGUGGUGGUGGCGGCGGCUCCUUCGUCGUCUGGCUGGCCGACUGACUGACUGACUGAGUGAGCGAGCGAGUGGCUGCACGAGGCUGGAGAUUUGCAUAUCAGAGGCGCGCCGCAUCUCACGAGGGUAACAAACUGGCAGGCUACAGAUUGCCAUGGAAACGUGUGCAGUUUGUGAGAAAUAGUUGAGAGAAUCUAGAGAAAGAAAAACAUCGCCUGGUGCUUUCCUGUGACUUCACACCUAAAGCUCCUGAUCACUGGAGGCCCUGCACUCACACUGACCCAGCAAGGAUUGUGUGAUUGGGCUGGAUCAGCAUCUCCACAGUACAAUAGCAUAAGGUGUCAGAUAUUUGCUGCCUAAGGGACAAUAGCCCUAGGGCACUCAGACUGGACGACAUUACAUACAUACACUAGUAUA